GCGGGCGUGGUGAAAUGGUAGACGCGCCGGACUCAAAAUCCGGUUCCGCAAGGAUUGUCGGUUCGAGUCCGACCGCCCGCA
This 81-nucleotide transfer RNA is filed under the name Sphingomonas sp. Leaf339. It matches the Rfam family "tRNA". Rfam says of the family: Transfer RNA (tRNA) molecules are approximately 80 nucleotides in length. Lineage: Bacteria; Pseudomonadati; Pseudomonadota; Alphaproteobacteria; Sphingomonadales; Sphingomonadaceae. The record is from Rfam by way of RNAcentral.